GAUGAACGCUGGCGGCGUGCUUAACACAUGCAAGUCGAACGAAGCAUUUAGAACGGAUUACUUCGGUUUGAAGUUCUUUAUGACUGAGUGGCGGACGGGUGAGUAACGCGUGGGUAACCUGCCUUGUACUGGGGGAUAGCAGCUGGAAACGGCUGGUAAUACCGCAUAAGCGCACGGUGUUGCAUGACAUGGCGUGAAAAACUCCGGUGGUAUACGAUGGACCCGCGUCUGAUUAGCUAGUUGGUGAGAUAACAGCCAACCAAGGCGACGAUCAGUAGCCGACCUGAGAGGGUGACCGUCCACAUUGGGACUGAGACACGGCCCAGACUCCUACGGGGGGCAGCAGUGGGGAAUAUUGCACAAUGGAGGAAACUCUGAUGCAGCGACGCCGCGUGAGUGAAGAAGUAAUUCGUUAUGUAAAGCUCUAUCAGCAGGGAAGAUAGUGACGGUACCUGACUAAGAAGCUCCGGCUAAAUACGUGCCAGCCGCCGCGGUAA
This 497-nucleotide ribosomal RNA is filed under the name uncultured bacterium. RNAcentral describes it as "partial 16S ribosomal RNA". It matches the Rfam family "Bacterial small subunit ribosomal RNA", at positions 28 to 523 of the family's 1533-position model. The record is from RNAcentral.